GAGCGACGCAGCAGAGUGCCACAUCUUGGCCAGGAGGAGGAGAGGGAGCAAUGGGGCUGCAAACCUGGAAGGCCCUAUGCAGGUUGGUCAUCCAGCUGAUUCGCCGGUCAUCACCGUUCUGAGCUACCUCUGAUCUAUUGUUGGUCUACAUUGGCGAAAGUUUUGUUUAGAUUGAAGGUUAAUUGACAACUCAUCUUCCUCUUCUGUACCCACUUGGAAAUAGCUAUUAGAGUAGGGAAAUGACAAUGGCGUGGCUGCAGAACCAUGAAGUGAUGAAGCUCUCAUGAUUCAACCGUCGGCUCCCAUGGAUGCUUACAUAGAUUUAGAAAGUCACACCUAGAAGAAUAUCAGUUCAUGUAUCACAAUGUUUGCUAUGUUAUUGCAGGUGGGUGUGAACUCUUGCUACACCCAAAUGGCGUUUCAUAAUCGGCCUGGCUUCACAUCUUUCACCUUGACACUAAUUUAUUAGUCCAAAUGAUUCGGUUGUUUUGUUUCUUCCUCUCAUUCAGAUGUUUCUUCUUGAACUGUUACCUUGACCUUGACGUGGGGGUGCACCAGCAAGCGACGUGGACUGUGUGGGUGUCUAUUUUUAUAAGUCUCUAUCCAUCUUUACAGUUGCUGAUAAACAGGUCGUUGUAGUUUGGGCUCAUUUUGCAUUCAGCAUGAGGUGCAAUAUCAGUGCCCCUCUCCUUUAGUUCUGAUACUCUACCUGAAACAUUGGCUAUAAGAAGUAACCAUUGUGAAAAGGGAAACAAGGAAAUAAUUGUGUAGGCUAUGAGGAUACCAAAGUGAUAGCUGAAUUCAGUUGUAUGUGCACUUUGUCCAGGAGAAGUUUUAGGAGGCCAGGGAUCGGAAAAUCACGUCAUGUCUAAGUAUGUUUCUUAUAUUGGUGCUCAGCUUAUAAUAAGGCCAGGGGAGGUCGACCAUGGAGUAGACCUGUCGAGCAAAUCAGGAAGUGGUCAUAUGAACUCAUAGAAAAGAUGGAUACAGGUGGCUUUGUAACAUGAGAAUUUCCUUGGUUAUGCACCAAUAAUUCACUCAUUUGGCUGCUUCAUUUGCAAAUUCAGGCGCUCUCUACAGAGUUGUGCUUCCUAUUAGUUUCAAGAUCUCUUUCACAGAAGAUGGAGCUGAGGUCUAGGCAGAUGACUCUUCGGUCGAUUGCCUAUGGAGUUGAAUG
Phragmites australis (common reed) is the source of this 1177-nucleotide long non-coding RNA. RefSeq lists it as uncharacterized. The transcript has 6 exons. Lineage: Eukaryota; Viridiplantae; Streptophyta; Magnoliopsida; Poales; Poaceae. The record is from RefSeq and is a predicted model, not a curated record.